This is a non-coding RNA of Pangasianodon gigas (Mekong giant catfish), 72 nucleotides long. The record is from the annotation of a GenBank genome assembly. Lineage: Eukaryota; Metazoa; Chordata; Actinopteri; Siluriformes; Pangasiidae.
UCCCUGGAGGACUAGUGGUUAGGCCUCGGUGCACUCACCGCCACGGCCCAAAUUCGAUUCCCGGCCAGGGAA